CAUGCCGCGUGUGUGAAGAAGGCCCUCGGGUUGUAAAGCACUUUCAGCGAGGAAGAACGCCUAGCGGUUAAUACCCGCUAGGAAAGACAUCACUCGCAGAAGAAGCACCGGCUAACUCCGUGCCAGCAGCCGCGGUAAUACGGAGGGUGCAAGCGUUAAUCGGAAUUACUGGGCGUAAAGCGCGCGUAGGUGGCUUGAUAAGCCGGUUGUGAAAGCCCCGGGCUCAACCUGGGAACGGCAUCCGGAACUGUCAAGCUAGAGUGCAGGAGAGGAAGGUAGAAUUCCCGGUGUAGCGGUGAAAUGCGUAGAGAUCGGGAGGAAUACCAGUGGCGAAGGCGGCCUUCUGGACUGACACUGACACUGAGGUGCGAAAGCGUGGGUAGCAAACAGGAUUAGAUACCCUGGUAGUCCACGCCGUAAACGAUGUCGACCAGCCGUUGGGUGCCUAGCGCACUUUGUGGCGAAGUUAACGCGAUAAGUCGACCGCCUGGGGAGUACGGCCGCAAGGUUAAAACUCAAAUGAAUUGACGGGGGCCCGCACAAGCGGUGGAGCAUGUGGUUUAAUUCGAUGCAACGCGAAGAACCUUACCUACUCUUGACAUCCUGCGAAUUUGGUAGAGAUACCUUAGUGCCUUCGGGAACGCAGAGACAGGUGCUGCAUGGCUGUCGUCAGCUCGUGUUGUGAAAUGUUGGGUUAAGUCCCGUAACGAGCGCAACCCUUGUCCUUAUUUGC
This 733-nucleotide ribosomal RNA is filed under the name marine metagenome. RNAcentral describes it as "bacterial SSU rRNA". It matches the Rfam family "Bacterial small subunit ribosomal RNA", at positions 393 to 1118 of the family's 1533-position model. The record is from RNAcentral.